AAACUUUCAACAACGGAUCUCUUGGCUCUGGCAUCGAUGAAGAACGCAGCGAAAUGCGAUACGUAAUGUGAAUUGCAGAACUCCGUGAAUCAUUGAAUUUUUGAACGCACAUUGCGCCACCUAAUAUUUUAGGCGGCAUGCCUGUCCGAGCGUCAUUU
This 158-nucleotide ribosomal RNA is filed under the name Phyllachora sp. XL-2018t. RNAcentral describes it as "5.8S ribosomal RNA". It matches the Rfam family "5.8S ribosomal RNA". From Rfam's summary of the family: 5.8S ribosomal RNA (5.8S rRNA) is a component of the large subunit of the eukaryotic ribosome. It is transcribed by RNA polymerase I as part of the 45S precursor that also contains 18S and 28S rRNA. The record is from RNAcentral. Lineage: Eukaryota; Fungi; Ascomycota; Sordariomycetes; Phyllachorales; Phyllachoraceae.